UACAUGGGAAUCCAUCCUUGGUACACUUAACAUACAUCAAUGACACAUAUAAUACAUCCAUGCCUGAGUAAGCUAACAAUUCCUCUCUCUCUGGCUAACUCUACAAAAUUACAAAAUAGUUCAAUAGUCCAGCAUAGUCCAGAAAAAUAGAAUACGUCUUUCAAGGAGUAUAUAGAAUCUUAGACACCAUAAACUUUGUUCCAUAAUCUUAGACAUCAUAACAUAGCUAAGGGUAGCAAUAUGGCUGACAACAAGACAAUGUCAGCUUCCACAUAGUUCUUAAUUCUUCUGUUUCCUGGAUGUUCACCACAAUACUCUGUGCAACACCCCAAUUGUUAAAAGGGUAAUACAGAAAUAGCGGCAUUAGACAGCACUGCAUCUUCAGGACUUUCCAAGUUAGUAUCCUCAUAAGUAAGCAUCUCAGUUUCUUCGGCCAGCGUGGAUUUUGACCAAACAGAUUUAAUUGCAAAAAAGGUAAGUAGGCAGGUAGGUCAGCCAGAGAGAUUGGUGUGUAGUCCCAAAUAUCAGGCGGCACAAAUAUUCCAGUACGGUCUCUAAAAUCAUACAAACACAAGGAUCAGCAUGACAUCAAUAAAUUAAUUAUCUAGGCUAAACUCUAAUUAGAAACUAAAGUUAAACUCUUAACUAGUGUAACAUGUACAUCUCUCAGUUUUGCUUAUAAUUCAUUGAAUUUGUCCUUUAUAAAAUUUUAAUAUAUAAUUUUCCUUUAGAAUGCCUUUGUAUGGAUGAGAGAAGCACUCAUUCUAUAUAAAUGCUUGUUGAGUACUAAAACACUAACAUAUACAUAUUGGAAUAAUUCCCAAUAAAAUGCUGUUCUUAAACUUAAACCUUGAUUUGAUAAUCUCAAUUAAUUACUUUAAU
This is a non-coding RNA of Pelobates cultripes (western spadefoot toad), 882 nucleotides long. The record is from the annotation of a GenBank genome assembly. Lineage: Eukaryota; Metazoa; Chordata; Amphibia; Anura; Pelobatidae.